UGCGUUUAAUUCACGUGUAUACUAUAUAUGCUGGGGAAUCCCAGAGUCCUUGAACUAGCUGGCAAAGUCUGGAAGUUGAAGAGAAACGCAGCUACGAGCUGGAAAAUUAGAAAACAACAGUUGCGUAUCAAGGAACUUCGAAUUCGGCAAGUAUAUAAAGACGAAGGACGCAAAACCCUCUUCAUCAGAACCAAUUCAGCUGAAGAGCGCACAACAACUAUACUGAAACAAUAUAUUCCUUCUUUGAAAACCACAAACCAACAUCUACUCCACCAUGAACAAGGCAAUUAUUCUUAUGAUGUUUGUCUUCGUCAUCAUCUGCGUAACGACGACGAUGGCAGGAGUGCAGCCGUUCGCUAUGUACCCUGCCGUUAACUACCAUCACGCUCGAUUCAUUCGCGAUGCUAGCCCACAAAGAUUCCCCGGCUGGCUUUUCGGUUAACUUGUUGGACAAGUUCAUUAAACUCUAUUUAUGUCGUUGGAAGAAAUAUCAAGAUAUAUCCUACCCAGAUGAAUAUGAAGACGUAUUUAAAACACCUCAUCGUUGAUCGUUCCAGCGGUGUUCUCUCUCAAAUUUAAUUUUCACCUGUAGCUAACACUAAUAUCGUUUUUUGUAAUAAAUAUACUUAUGAGUUAAAAAACUAUAAA
Daphnia magna is the source of this 648-nucleotide long non-coding RNA. RefSeq lists it as uncharacterized. The transcript has 2 exons. The record is from RefSeq and is a predicted model, not a curated record. Lineage: Eukaryota; Metazoa; Arthropoda; Branchiopoda; Diplostraca; Daphniidae.